This 9422-nucleotide long non-coding RNA is filed under the name Lactuca sativa (garden lettuce). RNAcentral's name for it is "long non-coding RNA (LSAT_LNC003028)". The record is from RNAcentral. Lineage: Eukaryota; Viridiplantae; Streptophyta; Magnoliopsida; Asterales; Asteraceae.
UAAGGUCAAAACAGUGAAUACAGACCCCAGACAGUAUCAAAUGAAACAUACGCCUUGUAAGGUCAAAACAGUGAAUACAGACCCCAGACAGUAUCAAAUGAAAGAUACGUCUUGUAAGGUCAAAACAGUGAAUACAGACCCCAGACAGUAUCAAAUGAAAGAUACAUCUUGUAAGGUCAAAAUAGUGCGACUCUGAAAAUGAGUUACCAGCAUACAAUGUAAAUUGCCGGUGAAAUACCGUUACCUUAAGGCCAAUGAAUUAUAAGGUAACCCGGGAUACUCGUAACCAUACUGACUAGAGUUCCAGACGCCCUACUAGCGUCUAUAAAAUGUGACAUUGGUCACCCGUUGGCUUGGUAGGCCGGGACUGUAGCUAGCAGUCUGGGUGCGGGGUUCUCAAUCCCGUAUAGAUCUAUACACACAAUGUCCGCUCUCCCUACAGGAGACUCUGGUUACCAACUAGACGAUGGAGAAGGCCGUGUCCUGAAGAUGCAUCCCAAAUAGUGGGUAGAGACUUCCAAAUAGUGGGUUUCUAAUGUAAGUGCUGAACUAGAUGUAGAGACUCAUAACUGAAUUGACUGAAGUAAACCCAUAUGUAUAUGCUUGUGUACAUAAUAUAUAACUAAUGAAUCAAAUGACCUUCGGAUGGACAUCCGAUCCCACCAGACCACAUCUCAACAAAGAAAAGGAAAUAGGGCGGACAAGACUUCCUAAGUCCUUGAAUCAUUAUUUAUAUGCAUCUAUACAAGCACAGACAUACAUCUAACUACGCUUGAGUGUGUAUCAAGUGGAAUCAUAUCGUGAAGUGUAAGUGUACAAUGUGGAAUAACCGACUUGUGAAGUAUAACCGUACAGUGAAAUAUCCGAGUCGUGAAGUAUAAGCGUACAGUGGAAUAUCCGAGUCGUGAAGUAUAAGCAUACAGAGUGGGAUAAUCGAAUCGUGAAGUAUAAGUGUAUCACGAAGUGAAAGCAUUAUCGAGUAGAAGUUUAAAAUAAGUGAAAGCGAAGCAGCGGUAACUAACAAGUAGAAGCAUAUAACGUGAAAAUCUUGGAAAAACCUUUAUACUUAAGAAAAUCAAAUUUUGGAAUUCUUUGGUAAAAUGAGUUUGAAAACCUUUAGAAAUCUUUGGAACCUUUAUAAACCAGUUUGAAAUGAAUGUAGAUAAAACAGUAUAAGUAAGAGUUUUGAAACAAAUGAAAACCUUUUAGAAAACCAUUAUAGUGUCCUACUCGGUAAAACAGUGUACAGUGUGGUAAAAUCUUUUGCAUGCGGGUUAUCAAUCACAUGUGAUUGUUAUGAUAACUGGCAUGUUUAACUUGUAUUCCUCCCCUAUAAAACAAGUAAAAACAUUUAAAAGGUUCAUUCAGGGGUAACAACUCACCUGGUGUAAAUGGAUCCUACGAAGGUGCCGGUUGGGUGCUCGGUGUCAAGUAAGGACUUGGACACACUUAGUGACCUAUUUAACAUAUGAUAACAUAUGUUCACAUACAAUUAGUAUAUUAUAUACCAAUUAAACAAGUAUACGCACUCUAAGGAGCGGAAAACACUUUGGUUAAGUGUUUGGGGUGUCCCGGGUAACAACUAAGGGCUCAAAUGGCUUAGGAAUGGAGUUUGCUCUCUGAGAGUAAACUCUCAACACCAUGUUUACGGCCCAGGGAAUACUCACCAUGAGUUUACGGUCGUAAACUCAUGGUGAGGGGUUCUAGUGUGUUUUAAGGCUUCUAACUUGUUCAUGGAAUUAUUGUAGGUCCAAAACUAUAUAGUAUGAGUGGGUUUAAGGUCUUUAAGGGCAUCUUAAUGGUGUUUACGGCCCAGGGACAACUCCUAAGGGAUUUUACGACCGUAAACUCUUAUUCCUUGAGUUUCGUGAAGUUUCAAGCCCUUAUAUCACUUCUAGUAAUUUUUCAAGGCUAUAGGGGUGUUUGGGGUUCCAAGAGUGCUCUCCUUUAGAUUUAUGGUCCAAAUGACCAAUCCUUGAGAGUUUACGGCCGUAAGCUCUAUGGCUUGGCCGUGAACUGUCAAACACCCACAACUCUUUGAUUUUAAGCCCUUGUUUCAACCCUAGCAUUUUCUAGUGAAAGUAUAAGGCCAUUUAGGGGACAUCUACCAUCAUUUUAGCAUGUUUAGGGGUGUUUACGGCCUAGGCACUUGCUUGGGCCGUAAACUCCAUGUUACCCCAUAUUUCCUUGUGUUUAAAUGAUCUAAACCCAAAAUAGCAAGCCCUUAAUUCAUGUAUUAAGCCAAAGGGUGUUUUAGGAGUGUGUUUUGGGCAGUUUAACAAGUUUAAGAGGUGUUUACGGCCUUGGCAUAUGCCUGGGCCCUAAACUCUCUUUUAUGCCCUAAAUCCAUGUGUUAUAAUGUUUAAACACUCCUAGGCUAAACCCUCAAUUUAUUUCUAAGCUUUUAGGGACAAGUUUGGGUCUUUUGGCCUCAUUUAAGGGGUUUACGGCCUAAGGAGGAGCUUAGGCCAUAAACUGCUCUUCCAUAGCUUCUAAGUCCGAUUUUUGGGCUAUAAACACCAAUCAUAAUGUUUAAAAUAAGCUAAGGUAAGAGGGCUUACGAUUUGGAAGCGUUUGGUUGCGGAUUCGGGUCGAAAAUGAGUAUAGAUAGAGAGUAUAGAGAGAGAGGGUGGAAAAGGCUCAAAUGGAGUUUACUCCCCCUUUAUAUAUGGGUGGGAGUUGGAGCUCAGUGGAAUUCUACACAAUACUGCCGUUAUAAGGGGCUUUUGGUCGCACCCGAUUUAGUGGUAAUAAUAAUAAAAACUAACUAUUUCCAACUAAAUGGAAAUAUGUGUUAUGUGUUUUUAUUUCCUUUCAUCACAACUUAACGGCAUAUUAAAUGUAAACAAAUGAAAUGUUUAUUUACUUGACGACCUCUAAUUAACGGAACUUUUAGAAACUGGAAUAUUCUGUUAACGGUAACGGGGAAAUGUAACGGAACAACUUGGGUUGUCACAUCAUCCCCCCGUUAGAGGGAAUUUCGUCCCGAAAUUCAAGUCUAGGAAAGGAAGUAGGUAUGAAUGGCCAAGUAGAGGCAAGAGGGUACUUCCUCUUCUGUUUGUCCUCACAUUCCCAAGUGAACUAUGGUCUGUGUUUGUCAUUCCAACAAACGUUCAUGCACGGGAUGCAGUGUCCGCCUUGUACAGCUAGUGGGUUUCGACUGGUAUAUCUACGAGGUUAGGGUUCUCAAUGGUCUCUGUCACGAUGAGUGGGGUACGAAGAGUGACGUCGGGUAAUCGCAUAUCUAGUCUCAGAAGUGGAUCGAUCGGGUAUGAAACUUGUGGCAUAUCUGAAAGUAGUAGCGGCCUGAAAAGGGUUGGACCAAGUCUCCAUGAGAAUUCUCAGAUGGUCCUAAGCUCUCGGAAUGGUAGAUUUUUUCAGUACUUAGAACAUAGUGUACUUCUAUGGUAAGAUCAUCACUGGCAUGACCGCCAUUCUAAAGUUCCUAACGUUCUCACUCGUACUGUGUGUGUAGUCCUUCAGGUUGGUCCUUAGGAAGCUCGGGUGGUCUUUGGUUUCGUGUUUCCUGUCAACUGGUUGAUAGAGACUUUCUAGGUCGUUGAGUGGGUUGCGUGACUAUGGUUAUCUGUCUGCUGUAGAGUGUCUAUCUCAAGUUUGUGCAAAAUGGACCUGCACUGACGAAUCUUGAGACACAGAAACCCUGAGGGUCGGGGAGAUAGGGUUUCACCAGACGAGUGUUGGACUAUCUCAGGAGGUGGUUCUACUAUCCCUGUGUAAGGUAGUAUUCGUGGAACACCUAAUAGUCCAAGGAUUCUCCAAGACUUUGGUUUAUCCUAGUGCGGAAAGUGUAUGUUCCUGCAUAACCCUUCGACUAACACCAAGGCUGGUGUCAAGUCUAUAAUCUCUUCGGGAUAUGGGUCAUGAGGCUUAAUGCAACUACUUUCGCACUUGACUAAGUAUUCGUGGUUGCGAAGGUUAUCCUGUGGUUCUCGGUAUCCUAGUGUUCACUUCGGAGAAUGUAUUUUAUCGUCUACAAGGCGACGACGGUUUCCUCCAUGCGAGAGGGUGGAGGACGAUAGGCACUGUUCGUCUAUAACAGGGUGGACGAAGUGCCUGAGUAGUGCGAGCAUCUACUGCAACUACUCUUCCGAAGGUUCUGAGUUUUCUCGGUCUAGGUCAAAUCUAGUGAGUAUAGGUUCCCAUUACUCAUAACUUUAAUCUUUUCAUCCACUCUUCUUAGAGUUUACUUUAUCGCAGCUCCCGGAUUUCCGGGAUAUUUGCCGCAAUGCUUAACUCGGGGAAUUAAGCGUGAAUGGAUGGUCGUAGUCAAUGUCCUUGACUUUUACGACUCAUAUUUCUUUACCAGCCGAGUGUGUUAGCUACUAUGUUGGCUUAACCGGGACGACAACAAAUUUCGGAUUCGUGGUCAUUAUAGUAGCUCAACCCGAAAUGGUUCUCUUGACUCUAGCUCCCGUUCCAUGGGAUAGGAUGAAGGUUCUUUCUAGGGAAUGUACUAGGUAUGCUUCGGGUGGUUAUCGUCUUCUGGAGUAUCUGCAGUGUCGUCCACUUCGGUGUCCAUCUGACUACGAGGGGUCGGUCAAUAGCGUACGGUACCCUCUCUUGGGUACUUCGGAAGGUUUGAGAUAAGAGGGACGAUUGACGGAUCGCAGUAGGUUUGAUUAUUUGUGUUAGGUUUAGGUUCCGAAGAACCUUUAUUCGCCGACAUGGCUACGAAGAAAGUUCUUUUUACACAGCACUAAGAAUGUACACAUGGUUUCACGAAGUCGAACCAUGAUCAAUAGAGUCGUCGAAGUUGGCACACUCCGACAUUAUAUAAAAUGAAUAUCGAUAGAGUCAUGUGCCGAACUGGCACACAAGUUCUAGGUGUCUCGGGUUUCGUCCUAUGUAUCACUACCGCGAAUACUUGGACCGAUAGAGUCGACGCGGAACUAUAGAGAGUUCUAAGUGUUUCCGAAUAGAGUACCUUUUCAUGAGUGGAUUCUCACAAGGCAUUUCUAUAAUCGCCUUACAUAUACUAGUCAUGUAUAUUUAAGGUGGGGAGGACUGUUGACUGAGCGACCCCGCCCUAAAUCCACAACCAAACGAGGAAUAGGAAAUGAGGCAGCAUUCGCUCACUCUAGGUCUGUCCAUCUUAAACAUACAUGGCCGUAACGUAUAUGUUUAGCCAUUAUAGUUUUACCUGAUGAAUUUUAAAUCUUAUAACAGUGCUGCGACUUUCGCCUUACUGGGAAGAAUUUACAUUUUGAAUUAAUCUUUUAUUGUUUUUAGUUUAGUUAUCCGAGAUCGAGAGACAUACCAUAAAUCUAUCGGGUUCCUUGACGCUUCUCCCUAAGCAGUAGAGUCAGGCUCCUCAUGUGUCCUUGUUGUUUCCUUCAGCUGGGCAAUCCUUCUUGAAAUGUCCCAUUUCACCACAUAGGUGACAAACGGGAUUGAUCGCUGCAUUAGUGAUCGAUGCAAUACGCUCCACCGGAGUUCUGCAUACACGAGCAGUAUGCCCCUUCAUGCUGCACCUAGCACAAUAGAGCUCCCGGCAGACACCAUGAUGAUGGUAGCUGCACUUGUUGCAAUGGGGAAGGUUUCCUAUGUAUGGUCUUCUUGAAGUCGGGAGGGAAGGAUUGACAGGGGUAUUGGCUAUCUCAGCUCGUUGCCCUUCGGAAGGUCCUUGGGUCGAGGUACUUCCCUCCUCAAUCUUGAGUUUUCUCUUUAGUGGGUCUGAGUGAGGUUAUUGGGUGACUGGGUAUGCAGGGGCUGGUUGUUGUUGUCCAUUGCUAGGAUCAGAAAUCCCGACAGGCACCUUGCUAACAUUGGCGUUGUUAGCAUUCAGGUGAGCCAUUACAACUGCUACGGCUACUGAGACUGCAGCUUGGAAUGUAGCUUCAUCGAAUAACAGAGUAGAUUUCUUGCUUGUGGACUGGUUUCGUUUCUUUGGAGGCAUGGUUUUUCCUACACAGAAAGGAAUACAAGAUGAUGAGAGACGAUGGCUAGCCUGGACAUAUCUGUCCUGACUGUAUUAGGCAUAAAAUUUUCCCGUGCCUCGUAUAAUGAUUGUCUGAGUGUCGACUUACAUCCCUAUGAUGUAGUCCUGGUAUGCAAGGUAAGAGUAUAAGUAUCGGAAAAAGGCCAUAAGGUGCGAGUUGUUCCUACUAAUUUACCUUUAUACUGGGAAAGGUUUCACUCUCCGACCUGGAGAGAUUUGAGAACAGUUCGGAACGAAACCACGGAAAGAGAGGCUCAUGAAGGCUUAUGGCUAAACCACCUCAACAGAGGUGUGGGGAUCUGCUCUAAACGUGUAACUGGCAAUGGGAAACGACGAUUUACCUAACACAUAGCGUGAGUAGUGUAACCACUAACUCACUAAAUUGGAUUAUUUUAAGGGUGUAUUAGCGUGACGAACACGAGGGAAGAGACAACUCUCGGGUUCCAUGUACUGGCUCCCUCGGUCUGCCUCGUAUCUUUGACUGGAAUCGGCGUUGGUUUCCUUCGGGUAGUUACCUAGGGUUCUUUUCUCGUAUGGACAUAUUGAUUCUCUACUCCACCUUACUUCCGAAUCCGACUUCGGGUGUCAUCACUCCAUGAUGGAUGACUGGAAAUUUCGGAAGUUUAGGCGAAUUUCUCACCAAUGUCCCUAAAAGACAUAGGCACUUGGUGAAUUCAAUAGUCUCGACCCAAUUCAUUUAUUUCCGAACAGGAAAUCUUCUCAAUGAACCUCCUCUAGGUCUGAAUCAACUCAUCUGCCGAGCACUGAAGUGGUUAGGGUUGUCUACAGGGUUCGCGCGAGAAUGGAAAUGUCUAAAGAAUCCUAAUAGAUUAUUAACAUUUCACUGUAUGAUCCAUAUCGAGUCCUGCUACGAUUACACAGGGUAUACAAAUCAUACAUGACUUAGAUCCGAUAGGCCUUCGAAUAUGUGAUACUACUCUAGAGCCACAUCCCAACGAGGAAAAGGAAAUAGAGUGAAACCACACAUUCUUAGCCUAUGGGAUCCUUAUUAUAUAUAACCUUGGGAGUAUACCCUCUGUAGUUGUAGGUAUAUCAAUAAGGAUCUUUUUAGUUCUUCACGCAAGGUUAGUUAUGGAUCCUAAAAUACCCCUAUGGUAUUUUAAUUCUUGUUUGAUUCUUAUCUUCUGAUUAUCAUUCUGGGAUUAGUGUGGAUCUUUUAGCGUUCUAAAAUACUCCUAUAGUAUUUUAACUUUAUGUUUGUCUCUAGCAAUCCUAGUUGGUAAGUUUCAGACUUGCUGCACACCACUAUCACUCCCGAGCACAUGUUCAUCGCAUCUCGGAUAAAUGUAGUUGAUCAGGUUACAUUUAUCCCAGCUUACGAUUACAUAACUGCCCAGGUUUGACUGUAGUGCUCAACAUCCGAAGACUUUUAUUAUUGUUCUUCUUGUGAUACUUUUGUUCGAGUGUUUAGAUUCUGGAUGUUAUUAUACUUUGGUAAAAUAUGGUUAUAUUUUAAAGUAUAAUUCUUGGUCAGAGUGUUUUAUCCCUUUGUGUUUAUAGGUUGUAUAUCUUUUAUGAAUUGAUAUACUUAGCUUACUAUAAACAAUGCUCUGAUACCAAUCUGUCACACCCCAAAACCGGAACAGCGGAAACAUUCUGGGGUGGAUGACGUCAUAUCAAGUAUCACAACACAUGCAUAUAGUAAUCAAAGUACAACAAGACAUUGCAUUAAUAGUAAUAUUUUUACAUAAUUUACAUUACAAAGCAUCAAAGUAUACAAGUAAUAGAAUAAAUCCAGCGUGGUACUAAGCUAUCUUCGUCAACAGCUCCUGGGAUGUACCUGUCUAAUUGCUGACCUGAGAAUACAAGUUAUUUGAAAAGCGAGUAUCAGCAUUUUUGCAAAUGCUGGUGAGUUCAUAAGCAUUUAGUGUCAUUUAGUCAAAUAACUUUAUAAAGUAGUAGUUUAAGUGUUUACAGUGCAUUAGAGUUCUUUCCAGAAAAUCAUAUAUUUUCUUUAAUAAAAGCAGCCAUCUACCAAGACUGGUCAGUGUUAUGUGGUAAAAAGUAGUUUUCCCUUAAUUGCUAUCAUUAUCAAAAUAUUGAAUUUGAUUAUUUUAGAAAGCAAGAGACAUCAGGGAAUAUCAUACGCCUCAGCAGUGAGGACUGCUGACUAAGGCAAGCAAUUCAUAGACUCCAGGAGAGUAUCGAAUGAACGACACAUCUGGUUCAGUCUAACAAGUGGAGACACAGACCCCAGAAGGUACCAAAUGAAAGGUACAGCUGGUAAGGUCUAAAAACGAUGAAUACAGACCCCAGACAGUAUCAAAUGAAAGAUACGUCUUAUAAGGUCAAAACAGUGAAUACUGACCCCAGACAAUAUUAAAUGAAAGAUACGUCUUGUAAGGUCAAAACAGUGAAUACAGACCCCAGACAGUAUCAAAUGAAAGAUACGUCUUGUAAGGUCAAAACAGUGAAUACAGACCCCAGACAGUAUCAAAUGAAAGAUACGUCUUGUAAGGUCAAAAUAGUGCGACUCUGAAAAUGAGUUACCAACAUACAGUGUAAAUUGCCGGUGAAAUACCGUUACCUUAAGGCCAAUGAGUUAUAAGGUAACCCGGGAUACUCGUAACCAUACUGACUAGAGUUCCGGACGCCCUACAAGCAUCUAUAAAAUGUGACAUUUGUCACCCGUUGGCUUGGUAGGCCGGGACUGUAGCUAGCAGUCUGGGUGCGGGGUUGUCAAUCCCGUAUAGAUCUAUACACACAAUGUCCGCUCUCCCUACAGGAGACUCUGGUUACCAACUAGACGACGGAGAAGGUCGUGUCCUGAAGAUGCAUCCCAAAUAUUGGGUAGAGACUUCCAAAUAGUGGGUUUCUAAUGUAAGUGUCGAACUAGAGGUAGAGACUCAUAACUGAAUUGACUGAAGUAAACCCAUAUGUCUAUGCUUGUGUACAUAAUAUAUAACUAAUGAAUCAAACGACCUUCGGAUGGACAUCCGAUCCCACCAGACCACAUCUCAACGAAGAAAAGGAAAUAGGGCGGACAAAUCUUCCUAAGUCCUUCAAUCAUUAUUUAUAUUCAUCUAUAAAAGCACAGACAUACAUCUAACUACACUUGAGUGUGUAUCAAGUGGAAUCAUAUCGUGAAGUAUAAGUGUACAAUGUGGAAUAACCGACUUGUGAAGUAUAAGCAUACAGUGAAAUAUCUGAGUUGUGAAGUAUAAGCGUACACUAGAAUAUCCGAGUCGUGAAGUAUAAGCGUACAGAGUGGGAUAAUCGAAUCGUGAAGUAUAAGUCUACCAAGUAUAAGUGUAUCAUGAAGUGAAAGCGUUAACGAGUAGAAGUUUAAAAUAAGUUAAAGCGAAGCAGUGGUAACUAACAAGUAGAAGCAUAUAACAUGAAAAUCUUGGAAAAACCUUUAUAGUUAGGAAAAUCACAUUUUGGAAUUCUUUGGUAAAAUGAGUUUGAAAACCUUUAGAAAUCUUUGGAACCUUUAUAAACC